AAACUCGCGCAGGAUUAGGCUGUUGGGUGGGUGACGCUACUAAGCUGCCCAAACCUUAUCCUUAGCCUGACUUAACGGUCCUAGGCCACGGUGGCACUGAAAAAAGGGCCACAGUUCACAUGAACUCAGCAGUGUUGAAUUUUUGGCAAUCGCUAGAGAGGCGGACCAAGAUGCUGCUUACA
RNAcentral lists this ribosomal RNA (182 nucleotides) under Yamagishiella unicocca. Its description in RNAcentral is "small subunit ribosomal RNA". It matches the Rfam family "Bacterial small subunit ribosomal RNA", at positions 227 to 391 of the family's 1533-position model. The record is from RNAcentral. Lineage: Eukaryota; Viridiplantae; Chlorophyta; Chlorophyceae; Chlamydomonadales; Volvocaceae.